GCCGCGGUAGUAUAGUGGUUAAUACCCUAGUAUCUUUACUAGAGGUCGGGGGUUCGAAUCCUCCUCGGGGCA
Non-coding RNA from Lasiosphaeria ovina, 72 nucleotides. The record is from the annotation of a GenBank genome assembly. NCBI's taxonomy places the organism in Eukaryota, Fungi, Ascomycota, Sordariomycetes, Sordariales, Lasiosphaeriaceae.